CCUACGGGAGACUGCAGUGAGGAAUAUUGGUCAAUGGGCGCGAGCCUGAACCAGCCAAGUCGCGUGAGGGAGGACGGCCCUACGGGUUGUAAACCUCUUUUGUCGGGGAGCAAAAGACGCCACGCGUGGCGUUCCGAGAGUACCCGAAGAAAAAGCAUCGGCUAACUCCGUGCCAGCAGCCGCGGUAAUACGGAGGAUGCGAGCGUUAUCCGGAUUUCUUGGGUUUAAAGGGUGCGCAGGCGGAAGAUUAAGUCAGCGGUAAAAUUGAGAGGCUCAACCUCUUCGAGCCGUUGAAACUGGUUUUCUUGAGUGAGCGAGAAGUAUGCGGAAUGCGUGGUGUAGCGGUGAAAUGCAUAGAUAUCACGCAGAACUCCGAUUGCGAAGGCAGCAUACCGGCGCUCAACUGACGCUCAUGCACGAAAGUGUGGGUAUCGAACAGGAUUAGAUACCCGAGUAGUC
Molecule: ribosomal RNA, 459 nt
Filed under: uncultured bacterium
Lineage: Bacteria
Description: partial 16S ribosomal RNA
Rfam family: Bacterial small subunit ribosomal RNA
Source: RNAcentral